GAUGAAGAACGUAGCAAAAUGCGAUACUUGGUGUGAAUUGCAGAAUCCCGUGAACCAUCGAGUUUUUGAACGCAAGUUGCGCCCGAAGCCAUUCGGCCGAGGGCACGUCUGCCUGGGUGUCACGCAUCGUUGCCCCCCCAAACUUCGGUUCGGGCGGGGCAGAAGUUGGCCUCCCGUGCGUGCCUGCGCGUGCGGUUAGCCCAAAAGCGAGUCCUCGACGACGAGCGCCACGAAAAUCGGUGGUUUUUUUGCCCUCGUUCCUCGUCGUGCGUGCCCCGUCGCCCGAACGCGCUCUUGCGACCCUCACGCGUCGCCUCGGUGGCGCUCCCAACGCGACCCCAGGUCAGGCGGGACUACCCGCUGAGUUUAAGCAUAUCAAUAAGCGGAGGA
Molecule: unclassified non-coding RNA, 390 nt
Filed under: soil metagenome
Description: partial contains 5.8S ribosomal RNA, internal transcribed spacer 2, and large subunit ribosomal RNA
Rfam family: 5.8S ribosomal RNA (bases 1-122)
Source: RNAcentral